RNAcentral lists this long non-coding RNA (34131 nucleotides) under Gossypium barbadense (sea-island cotton). RNAcentral's name for it is "long non-coding RNA (GBAR_LNC013471)". Lineage: Eukaryota; Viridiplantae; Streptophyta; Magnoliopsida; Malvales; Malvaceae. The record is from RNAcentral.
CAGCCUUCAGAGUGUCAUGACUAUGCUGAUUGAUGCUGAGUCUCGACAACAAGCUCUAAUGGUUGAGGCUCCUAGCUCUGCCAAUCUUGUUUCACAGCAGUCUGCUGACUCUACUACUGAUAAGUUUACACCGGUUUAUCGGCCGUCUAACUCUCGUGGUCGUGGGCGUGGCCAUUCUUCUAGCACGCGAUUUCAAUGUUAAUUAUGUGGUAAAAUAGGACAUCUUGUGGACCGUUGCUACUACCGGUUUGAUUCGUCCUACAAAAGCACUAACUACAGGCCUCCUCUACAAGCCAAUGUCUAUAUGUCUGCUCCUCCUAUGGUUCCAUACUCUAACUGGACAUAUCAGGUGACUUCUCCUUCUAGCUAGCCAAAUUCUUUUGUUGGUAACCCAGUGCAACAGGUUUCAUCCGUGGCUGUGUCUGCUCCUCAACCGCAUGCUAUGGUAACUACUCAUGAUACGGUUAGAGAUCCUGCAUGGUAUCCCGAUUCUGGGGUAACACAUCAUCUCACUCACUCGGUUGAGUCUCUUGGUGAUAACAUGUCUCGUAAUGGACCAGAUAGGGUGUAUAUUGGCAAUGGUAAUUCUCUGCAUGUGUUAUGCUCCGGUCAGUCAGCUCUUAUUACUAAGAUACGACCACUUUACAUGAAGUCUUUGCUAUAUACACCAUAAACUUACUUUUUGUGUCUAAGUUCACCAGAGACAAUCAAGUGAUGUUUGAAUUCUUUCAUUCACAAUGUCAAGUUCAAGACUUAAAGACCAAGGAGGUGCUUCUUCAAGGUUCAGUGCAGCAUGGCCUAUAUAAGCUUCGUCUCAACAAUACUCUUAAGAAUGAUUAGCCUAGUCCGACAGCUAGUUGUUUUCAAACUCAUGCUUCAGUCCCUCUAAGUCUGUGGCAUGCUAGGCUAGCUCACCCUUGCAGAAAUGUACUGAUCAAAGCAUUACAACGUUGUAAUAUGGUUUUUGAUGACAAUAAAGAUACGUUUGCAUGUGUUGUGUGUCACUUAGGUAAAGAGCAUAAACAGCCCUUACGCUCCUUAGAGACUUAAUAUGUUGCACCUUUACAACUUGUAGCAGUAGAUGUCUGUGGUCCAGCACCAGUAACGUCCAACGGGUUUCGAUAUUAUGUAGCAUUUAUAGAUGCUUUUACAAGGUUUACAUGGCUCUAUUUCUUGCAUAAAAUGUCAGAAGUUGUCACUAUUUUUCCUCAUUUUCACAAACAGGUUGAGAGGACUCUUGGGCUGAAGCUUCGAUCACUACAAACAGAUGGUAGGGGUGAGUUCCAAGCUCUUCGACCCUACCUCGCUCAGCAUGAAAUUCUGCAGAGGUUCACAUGUCCCUACACGUCAGCCCAAAAUGGUUUGGUUGAACUCAAACAUCGUCAGAUAGUUGACACUGGGCUCUCUAUGCUCGCUCAUGCAUCAAUGCCGGUGACAUAUUGGAAUGAUGCUUUCAACAAUGCUGCCUAUCUCAUUAAUAGAUUACCCUCUGCACCUUUAGGAUAUAUUUCUCCUUAUGAAAAGCUUUUUCAAACUAAGCCCAACUAUUCCUUCUUUAGAACCUUUGGAUGUCUAUGUUUUCCAAACCUUAGACCGUAUAACAAACUCAAGCUUCAGUUUCGGUCCACUCCUUGUAUUUUUCUCAGAUACUCUACUCUUCAUAAAGGGUAUCGUUACCAAGAUGGAAAUGGCCGAAUUUACAUCUCUCGACAUGUAACAUUUCAUAAAGAUCAGUUUGGGUUCAAAGACACUUGUUCCAAAACAACCCCAAUUACUACACCCUCUCACACUAGCUCCAGGUUGAUGGUUCUAGCUACCAGAUUAAAUUUUCAUAAUUCAUCUACUCAGUCUUCUAGUCAACCUAUUUUGUCCUUACCUCCCUUCCUACUUACUUCACUGGUCUGUCCACAACCUGACUCACCUAUCUCUCCCAUGUUGACUAAUCCCUCAACUGCGUCACUGUCUCACUCACAUGUUACUGUGCCUAUAGCAUUCCCAUUCCUGCUCCACAAAACACCCAUGCUAUGGUCACCCACAACAAAGUCGGUAUUUUUAAACCAAAGGUUUACCUAAGUGGUGUUGACUUAUCGCCUGAUGUUCUUACGAACGUUCAUGCUGCUAUGGCUCAUCACCUCUGGAAAGAAGCUGUUCUUCUUGAGUUGGAUGCUCUUGUCCGUAACAACACCUAGACCCUGUGUCCACUUCCUCUUCAACGACAAACCAUUGGUUGUAAGUGGCUGUUCAAGGUGAAGAAGAAAGCAGAUGGUACUAUAGAAAGAUACAAAGCUCUAUUAGUAGCUAAGGGCUUCUCUUAGCAUGCCGAGACUAACUUUCGAGACACGUUCAGUCCAGUGGUUUGAGCUGUUACCAUAGGAACAGUUCUUGCUAUUGCAGUCAUGAAAGGAUGGUCACUACAACAGGUGGACGUAAACAAUGUGUUUUUCAAUGUGUAACUUAUCGAAGAAGUCUUUAUGGAUCAGCCACCAGGUUUUGAGGUACAUGGUUCGGGUGGUCAGAAGCUGGUGUGUAAACUAAAUAAAGCCUUGUAUGGGUUGCGACAGGCUCCUCGUACCUGGUCUCAUACACUUCAAUAAUUUAUGGUAAGUAAGCUGGGGUUUCAAGCGUCCAAGGCAGAUCUUUCAUUGUUUAUUCGCAGGUCUGGUAACAGUCAGCUGUUCCUUACGGUAUAUGUUGACGACAUUAUCCUCACUGGUAACUCUACUCAAGCUGUUGAUGAUGUGGUCCUUCAACUGCACAAACAGUUUACUCUCAAAGACUUGAGUUCUCUUAAUUUUUUUCUUGGCAUUGAGGUUCAGUCCAUACCUCACGACCUGCUUCUCACCCAGCGAAAAUAUGUUCAAGACAUUCUACGAAAGACAGGAAUGGAGGGUGCAGCUACCACACCUACUCCUAUGAUCAGUUUUCCUAAGUUGAUUACUUCUGAUGGUAGUCAGGUAGUUGAUGGGCAUCUUUACCGUAGCACUAUAGGCAUGCUACAAUAGAUGUGUGUUACAAGACCUGACUUAUCUUUCUGUGUUAAUAAACUAAGCCAAUACAUGAACUCACCUAGUGAAGUUCACUGAAAAGUUGUUAAGCGAGUCCUUCGAUACUUAGCUGGAACUAUGGAUCAUGGGUUAUUCUUCUCCAAAGGGCAGUUCAAAUUGGUUUGCUACUCAAAUGUAGACUGGGCCUCUUCUGUUGAAGAUAGGUGUUCUACCACAGGUUAUGUUAUCUUUCUCGGGCCAAAUCCAAUAGCUUGGUGCUAAAAAAAAUAGCCUGUUGUAUCCAAGUCGUCUACAGAGGCUAAAUAUCACAGCCUGGCAAAUUGUGUUUCUGAACUACUAUGGAUUCGACAACUGCUAGAUGAGAUAGGGAUUUGCAUGGAACAUGUACCAACAAUCUAGUAUGAUAAUACGUCUACAGUGUCUAUGUUAGCCAAUCCAACGCAUCAUGCAAGGGUGAAACAUAUUGAGAUUGACCAUCACUUUGUUAGAGAGAAAGUUGUUGAUGGAUCCCUACAGGUCAAUUUUGUUCCAUCUACUAAACAGAUUGCUGAUGUGCUUACUAAACCUAUAGCUCCCAAGAAGUUUACAAAUCUUCGAGGUGCUCUCCGAGUUACAACAAAAGAUGAGUUGGCUGAUUUUAAGGACAUAAGAAGAUCAGGAGAAUGUUAGAGUGUUAUAAGGAAGUUGGUUAGUCGUCAAGUUAGUAGUUAGUGAGCAGUGAGUUAGUUAAGGAAGUUACGAUCUAUCAAUGUUGUAUAAAUACAUGUAUUGAGCUAUUCUCUUGGAUAAUACAAGCUGAUAAUAUUCAUCAGUUGUUAGUUUCUUUAGUAUAUUUCAACAAUUAUCACUUAAUUAAUAUUACAGUUAAUUAUAUUAAUUAGUUAUUAUUUUAAAUAAUGUUACAUUGCAUUAACGAUAUAAAGUAAAAUUAUAUUAUAUGCUAAAAAUUUUAAAAAUGAUUUAUUUAUGAUUUGAAAAUUUUCUAUUAUAAAAAUUUUAAAAAUAGAAUAUUAAAAAAUACUUUUUAGCGUCGUAACUGGUGACACGGUAGAAGAUGCUGGAAGGGAAAUCUCGGUAGGAGAUCGCAAUACUAAGAAAGCCCGGUUUAAAGGCUUGGAUUGUGAUAUGGAGAAUGACAUGGUUGUGGAUUCAUUUUCAGCAUCGGAAAUCUCUUGGAGGGAUAAAGUCUUGGGUCGAAGAGUCCCCGAUUCUAGUAGGGAGGAGGACUUCAAGCUUUUGGAUGGAGAUGUUACGAGAUCAACGGUGAAUGGUAUUCCCGCUAUUAGUUUUUUAGAAAUGGUUCAAUAGAUUUUGUUUAGAGAAAUGAUGACUAUGGUUGUGGUUAAGCUUCUUAGUCAAAAUUUAUUUUAUUUUGUUCUGCUUAUAAGAUUCAAAGCAUGUGAAAACUGUCUCAACAAUUCCACCUCAUGGACGUGGAAAAUGGGUAUUUUCUAGUUAAGUUUCAGAGUCGCGUUGAUUAUGAUAAGGUACUUACCCAAGGGCAUUGGAUUGUGUUUGGCCAGUAUCUCACGGUUCAACCGUGGACACUGGAGUUUGACCUUCUCUGGGCUUUCCCUAGCAAUACGAUGGUAUGGGUCAGGUUGCUUAGUCUUCCGGGUUUCAUCUACAAACGUCAGUUUUUGGAAAAAAAUAAGGGGUUUAAUAGGGACGGUUAUCAAGUUGGACUUUCUUAAGGACAAUGGGUUGAGAGGAAAAUUUGCAAGGAUGGCUGUAUGCAUUAAUCUAAUAAAACUUCUGGUCUCUCAAAUCAUGGUUAAUGGGGCGAUGCAGAGGGUGGAAUUCAAAUCGCUUAUAUCCGUUUUUUUCUUGUAAUUGUUUGGGCCACCAAAAGAACUAUGUCCGAGUGAGGGGCCUACGAAAGAGAUGGUUGUGGGAUUUAGAUCGGCGACAGAGGACUUACCAGGGGCAAACAAGGUGGGUGAGGUGGCAGAACCGUUUGGCCCUUGGAUGAUCGUUGAAAGAAAAUCACAAUGAAAUCCUCGGAUUCGUCAAAGCUUAGAGAUAAAAGGGCCCGUGAUCAAUUAUCUGUAUCUACUUGGUAGGAAAUUGGCCGUGAAGGGUGUGACAAAGAUUGAUUUGCCGGGGAUCUAUUUCCAAAAGGGGGAUUUUUCAUCGACCAAAAAUCAUGGAGGGUCUUUUAGGGAUAAAAAGAAUAAUGGUGCAGUGGUUGUUAAUGAAAACACUUUUAGUAUUUUGGGUCAAAAUAAUAUGGAGAGGUUAGAUUUUUUGGAUGGAGCCGAAAGAAGAGAGGUUAGUAAGCCUACUAGGGAAGGUUCGAACAAGCUGUUUGGGUCACCUAUAAAGUCUCCAAGCCUGGAUAAAAAGGCACUGGAAAAUGCUGGAAAAAUAAUGGGUGUUGGGCCUGGUUUAACAACCCAAGGAGGUGGGGGGUUUAGCUAACCCAAUUUUGGUGGACAAUCUUUCGACUGGGCAAAAGGAUAUUUAUAAAUCUGUUUCUUCUAUAAGACACCUAAUUUUUAGGGAAAAUCAAUCUAUGAUAGGUAUUAAUUUUCACUUUAGUCCAAUGUUUAAUGGUCCAAUAGAAUCGAUAGUGGUAAUAAAUAAAGAGAUUCUAGAUUAUAGGAGCCAUUCAACUGUUAUUUUUAAAGAGAACAGAGAUUUCAAAAAUUUCAAGUCUACUAAAGUUGGUAGUUUGAAUGGGAGAGGUAAAGGGAUUCUAAUUUCGAAAGGGAGAGGUUUCAGAAAUAAGGGAGAUACUGUCUGAAGUGGUGGUGCUAUCAAUAAGAUAAUUCGGGAACGUGGGGGACGUUUUAAAAAUGUUGGGAAUACAAGGGUUUCGUUGUCUGAUUCAAUGAAUUCCAUGGCUAAACUCAUCAACUUACAAAUUAAUAACGAGACUGAAAUAAUAAAUUUAACCAGUGAUGGAUAAGAUAGAGAUGGUAUAUGCUAGCCUUAGAGCUAUGAUAAAUCUUCUUUCUAUUUUUAUGAAUUUAUCCAUUUUCUUAUGUAAUUGUCAAGGUUGCACGAAUAACAAGUUUUCGAGGAUCUUUCAUGAAUAUAAUCGGGAUUAUAAACCAUAUAUUAUUGGCCUCUUAAAAAUUAGAGUUAGUGGCAAUAAUGAUGAUUCGAUUAUUACAAGUCUUGGAUUCCAAUAUUCUCAUCGAGUGGAAGCUAUUACAUUUUCUAGGGGAAUUUAGGUUGGAUGGAAGGAUUUGUUACAUGUUGAUAUUAUUCAAAGUCACCCACAAUUUGUAUUGAUUUCGGUUUCUGAUAGAAUGUUUCAAAGGUUGAUUUUUAUUUUCUUUGUUUAUGGCAAUUCUGAUAGUCGUAAGUGAAUGAGGCUUUGGGAAGCUUUGAAAUAGAAUAUCCUUUGCUUUGAGUCACAUUGGAUGGUAGUUGGUGAUUUAAUGCGAUUCUGGCUACUAAUGAAAAAAGAGGUCGGCGUGUUAUUGGUAAAACAUGUAUUUUUUUGAAGAAUUUAUGGAUUCAUCUGAGGCACAUGAUUUGGGGUUUAGAGGUGCUUCUUUUAUGUGGAAAAUGGGUGUAAUUUCUAAGCAUUUUGAUAGACCUAUUGGGAAUGAUAAGUGGAUCGCGUCAUUUCUAAACUAUUUGAUGACUCGUCUUCCUAGAUUCAAAUUCAAUCAUAGGCCUAUUCUCUUGUCACUUCGACCGGUGAUUUAUUAGUAUUUGAGUCAUCCUUUUCAUUUUUUGGCGGGAUGGGUUAAACAUGUAGAUUUUCUGAUUUUAUUAAGAAAAAUUAGAUUUUUUAUGGUGAUAUGUCCAGGUAGCUUUCUUACCUUACUAGUAAGCUUAAAGAGUGAAAGAAGAAAGUUUAUGGUCAUAUUGGGGUUCACAAAAGAAGAUUGAUUCAAAAACUUGAUAUGGUUCAAAGAGAUUUGGAUUUUUCUCAGAAUGACCUAUUAUUUCAGUUUGAGUUAGGAAUUAGAAAGAAAUUGGAACAAGUUUUGUAUCACGAGAAGCUUCUCUGGAAACAAAAGACGAGAUAUGGUUGGCUUUCUUUAAGGGACUGCAAUACUAAGUUUUUCAUAGGUACACUCUUAAAAGGCAUAAGCAGAAUCGAAUCUCAACUUUAAAAAAUGUGGAAUGGGUGUGGAUUUUAGAUGAUGAGGAUUUACGACAAGAGGCUAUCUGUUUUUUUGAGAAUUUGUAAGGUAAAGAUUCGUGGCUGAUGAAUGAACUUCCAUCUAGUUCUUUUCUGAGGCUAGAGGAUAGUGAGAUCUAGUUUUUAAGUAAAUUAGUCUUGAAUUAAGAAAUCAAAUUGACGAUGUUUGAUAUGGGACCAUUAAAGGCACUCGGAAGUGAUGAGUUUCAUGCACUCUUUUUUCGGAGCCAGUGGGAUCUUCUUGGGGACUCGAUUUCUACUUGGGUUUAGAAUAUUUAAAUUAUAAGUUAAACAAUGCCAUUAUAUUCCUCAUUCCUAAGGUUUUGAAUCCAAAUUAUUUUUCCCAAUUUCGACCGAUUAGUCUGUGCUCGAUUCUGUAUAAGUUGGUAAUGAAAAUCAUUGCCAAUCGGUUUAAGCUAGUUUUUUUAAGAAUAAUUAGAUAAAAGUAGAUGGGGUUUAUCACGAAAAGAAGUACUACUGAUAAUAUUAUCAUCGUUCAGAAGGUUUUUCAUUCCUUGAAAGUUAAGAAGAAGGUUAGAAAUUGGAUGGCCAUCAAGAUUGAGUUCGAAAAGGCUUAUGAUUGAGUACAGUGGGAGUUUAUCGGUGCAUCUCUUCAUGCAACAGGUAUUCCAAAUUUAUGUUGUAAUGUGAUUAUGUCUGCUAUCACUAUCUCUACUAUACAGAUUUAGUGGAAUGGUACAUCAACUCAGAAAUUUCGGCUGAUUAGGGGUGUACGUCAAGGGUGCCCACUUUCUCCCUAUCUCUUCGUCCUUUGCAUGGAAUUGUUGGGUCAUAGCAUCCAAUCUUGUAUUAUUUAUGGGUGAUGGAUACAUAUCUGCUCAGCUUGUUCGAGACCUCCCUUAUCCCAUUUGUUCUUUGCAAAUGAUUUGAUUCUUUUUGGUCAAGUUGAAGAAGGUCAAGCCACAGUUUUGAAGGAAGUGUUGAUAGUUUUUGUGAGUAUUCAGGGUACAAGAUCAAUUCUCACAAAAUGAAUGUUUACUUUUUCGAAGGGGUAAAUGAGUACGUAGGAGAUAGUCUUUGUCAUAUUUUUAGUUUCUGAAGAGUGAGUAAUCUUAGGAGCUAUUUAAGAGUUCCUUCGUUCCAUGACAGAAUAACCAAUAGUUCUUUGCGGUUUAUGGUAGAUAAGGUUCAUAAUAAAUUAUAGGGAUGGGAUGUGAGGUCGCUAUUUUUGGUUAGUAGGGCCACCUUGGCGCAAUCAGUAUUAUUAGAAAUCCCUAUCUAUUUUAUGCAAUCAAUGUCGAUUCCUAAGGAGCUCUGUGAGGGAAUCGAACGUAUGGUGUGACAAUUUGUGUUAGGGGUUUUGAAUAGUGGUAGGAAAGUAACUUUGGUCAGUUAGGAGGAUGUUUGUCAGCUUCGACAAUAUGGGGGUCUUGGUUUUUGAAGAUUGUAGGAUCAUAACACUUUUUUAUGAUGAAAUUAGGGCUUAAAAUUGUGAUUGAUUCGAAAGCUCUUUGGGUACAGGUGCUUCGUGCAAAGGGAUAGCUAUUAGCAUUCUAGAAACUCUUUCCCGUAGUAGAGGUUCUUUCCUGUGGAAGGCCAUUUCUAAGGUUUGGCCACUUAUUUGAGAGAAUCUACAUUGGUCAGUGGGAGAUGCGAGAAAUAUUAGAUUUUGGCGUGAUCCUUGGGUUUUGAAUGUAGAACCUUUCAUUAAUCUAAUUCCAAGACAUGCUAGUCUUGAUUUAGAUUAUCAACUUAAUGAUAUGGUAGCUGACAACAGUUCUUAGAACCUUGAUUUAUUUCGACUCUGGUUGUCUGAGACUAUCAUUUAGAAAAUUAUCGGCAUAUCGACACCUCACUUGGCAGCAAGAGUUGAUAGAAUUAUCUGGGGAGGAACGAAGACGGUUCGUUCUUCGUUAAGAGUGCAUAUUGCAAAAUUCGAGAGGGAUCUUAGAAUCAGAAGGAUGAUGUUUGGAAGAUCCCUUAGAAAUUCAAAAGCCUCCAAAGAGUUAGCUUUUUUAUCUGGCUAUUGCUUAAGAAAAGAUUACUCAUGAACACACAGAGAGUCCGACAAGGAUUGGGUCAUAAUUCGGCCUGUAGAGUUUGUGGUCAUUCCUCAGAAGAUGUGUUGCAUGUCAUAAGGGAUUGCGUUGAAGCAAGAAAAGUCUGGGACCUUAUUAUUCCUCCUAAGGAACAUCGCAGGUUUUACUCUGGAAAUCUUUUGGAAUGGCUUUUUUUAAAAUUACAAAAUCAUUUUGAUAAAUGCUUUGAGGAGGUCGAUUGGAAGUGCCUUUUUGGAAUUAUCAUCUGGCGUAUUUGGAAGAACCGUAAUCUUUUCAUCUUUUAGGGUAUGAUUUGGAGUAGUUAUGAUACUAUUAAGGUUUCGUAUAGUUGGACCAAACAAUUUCUGUUGACUGACAAAAGGCCUAUAGAGAACAACAUUCAGAAACCGAUCAUUUCCUAUAAUUCAUUUGGAAUUGGGUUAUACUUGAAUAUAGAUGGAUCCGUUAGACUUGAAGAUGGUUCGACAGCAGGAGGAAGAAUUGCGAGAAACAGAAAUGAGGAGUGGGUUACUGGCUUUAAUAGGUUCUUGGGUAGUUGCUCAGUGUUGAGGCUAAACUGUGGGGUAUAUUGGACGGAUUAAACAUCCUAAUUGAUCGAGGUUUAGAUAAUGUGUUGAUCUAGACAGAUAACUUGGAAGCAGUUACGACCAUCAAGGAAAGUCUUACAGGAAGGUCUAAUUCAGCUUUGAUCGGAAGAAUUCUUAAGCUUCUGUAUCAGCUUCAUCAUUGGAAUAUCUAUCACAUUCCUAAAGAAGAUAACCAGAAAGCCGAUAAGUUGGCCAAGUUGGCUCACUUGGGAAGUCAUGCAUUUUUUACAUAUCCCCGUUUGGGGAUUUGGGUUUGCCUUUGUAGGCUUUGAUUUGUAAUUUCUUUUUCAUCACCAAAAUUUUUUCUAUUUUAAUAUUUGAAUUGAUAAGUUAAUAUAUUUUAAUUAUAGGCAUAAAGAUAAAUUUAGCCCUUAACGUUUACUCAUUUUUGUCAUUUUGGCCCUCAACCUUUAAAUUUUAGUCAAAUUGCUUGCUUUUCAACGGAAAAAAUGACUGAACUGUUAAAGUUUAAUGGCAUUGAUGUGAUAGCUCACCUGGCAUUUCAUUGCUAACAUGGAUAAAUUUUCUAAAUGUUUUUACGAACUUUUUUUUAUUUUUUAAAUAUUUUUUAUUACUUUUUUUAGAUUUUUAUGAAUUAUAUGUUGCUAGUGGUCACCUCAAUGCCGUUAAAAUUUUAACAGUUCAAUCAAUUUUUCUAACAAAAAGCAAGCAAUUUGAUUAAAUUUUAAAAGUUGAGGGCCAAAAUAACCUAAAAAAAGAAUAAAGGCCAAAAUGACAAAAUGACAAAAUAAGUAAGCGUUAGAGGCUAAACUUAUCUUUAUGCCUUAAUUAUAUUCAAGAAUUUAAAUAACAAAUAUUAUUUUAUGUUAAUUAUUGCAAUUAAAAAUAUAAUAUUUAAAAAACUGAUUAAAUAUAAACCGCAUAAAAUCACAUGUAAUGCAUGUGUUAUUAGAAGCUCGUACUUUUAAAAAGAAUCAAAUAAGUCCAAAUUAUAAUAGAGUAACAUUUACGGUAUAAAAAUGUCUUGAAAAUUAUUAUUUUCAAUUGUAGUUCAAUCUUAAAAAAAGAUUUUAUUUACCGAACUAUAAGAUCUUUUAAAAUAUUAGUUCGGUUUUCUAUUCUAAUUUGAUCUUAUUUGAUUCUUUUAAUAGUACAAGAAUUAAAUUAAUCUAUAGGAACUAUUUUGAUUAGGUUGGUAAAAUACAGGGACUGUCUUGGGUACAUCCACAUAAAUUUUUCAUACAAGGAUUUCAUUGGCUGUGACUGGAAUUUUUGGAUACAAAUAUAAGUACAAUGACCUAAUUGUAAAAUUUAUAUUUAUUUAUAUAUUUGUAAUUGUUUUUAUUUAAAAAUAAAUUUCUUAAUUCAAGCAUAAGAAUAAUUAAAAUAUGUAUAGACAAACAAAUAUAUGGUAUAAACAUCGAAAUAGCCCCAUUUUAUGUUGAUAUAUUGUAUAGACAAACAAUCAUAUGAUUCCAAUAAAAUUACAAUAUAUACAUAGGAAUUGCAAUUCAAACUUUGUAUUUAUAAUUACACUAAAUCAAAUUAAAUUCAUAAUUUUCCCUUUAAAUAUUCCUAUAAACCUUUAAUCAAUAAAAUAUAAUUUUUAGAAAAAUACACAACGUAGAAGAGUCUGUACAAAAUAUAUAUAUUUUUGUCCAAUCAUUUUUGGUUUGAAAUACAUUUCACAUUUUUUUAUUUUUAAUAAUGAAGAAAAUCAACCACAUUUAUUUCAUUGGAGUAUGCUUUUUACCACUAACCUCCAUCCACUUGAAGCCAAAGCUUGUUUUCCUUUUCCAAUCAUAAGUUUUGAGAGUUUCGAGGUAUUUUUAAAAUUUGUAAAAAAUAAGUUUAUUUUGAAAAUAAAUAUCUUGUUUUUUUCUUCUAAAAUCUUAUAAAUAUUUAAAUAAAAAAAUUGAACUUGUAGAAAUAACAAUGCCAUCUUCCAUUUAAAAGAAAGAAUAAUAGGAAGUGACUGUACGAGAAAUGUUCUAGAAUAUUGACAACUAUGGUUUUGUUUUUCUUGAGAUGAGGGAAAUAACAAAACAAAAAUGUGAAAUGGCAAUAAUUAAUAUGAUUUUAAGUGUAUUUUGAUUUAUUCAUUUAGUUUUCCACACAUUUCUUUGCAUUAUUUUUGUAUAUAACGCCAUCAAAAGAUUCUGCCAUUUCUUUGCAUUACUUUAACCUCAGUUUCAACUGUGAUUCUCUACCACAAUAUGUCUUAAUUUAAUAUUAGAUGAUACGAUUCAUAAUUAUCAUGUCCGAAAUUGAAUAUUUUAGACAUAAAUUUAAUUAAUGUCUACAAUAAAUAUACAAUUGAUAAAAGAGAAUAAGUUAAAAAAAGGUGAAUUACAUGAAAAAUUUGACAUUAAAGUUAAAAAGAGGUGCAACAGACUUUUGGAUUUUAGAAAUAUUUUUAUUUUAAUAUUAUUUUAAAAGACAUCUCUUUAAGAGAUUAAUUAAGAUUAAAUAUAUCUUGAGGAGCAAGUAAAUCAUCAUUAUAUUUUAUUUUAAAUGUUAUUAUUAUGUUUUGGGUCAUUAUUAUUUUAAAUUAUAUAUAAGCGUUAGUGGAAAAGCAUAGGGACCAUCAAAAGAUUCUGUCAUUUUAUUUUGGCUUCUUCUCUUUUUAAUUUUCAAUAAUAUUUUCUUUGCAUUAUUUCCUUUGUAUUCUUCAAAUUAUUAGUAGUUAAAUUUUGAAUCUAGUUUGAGAUUGAGUUUUAGCUUGAUUGGCAGCAGCAUUGUUAUCAGUGUGGAGGAUGUGGGUUUGAGUGUACUAAAGUGUAUUAUACUCCUAUUAAAGGUUGGGGAGGGGCUAUGGGUAGUUUUAAGAACCUAUAAUGAGAUUAAUAUUAAAAAAAUGAUUCUAGUUUUAGGCCAAUAAUUAAUUUGACGUUCAAACUAUGGUACUUCAAAAUCACAUUUAUAUUCUCUACGAUUGUAUUUGUUAUGUCUUCGAUUUAGGAGACAAACUUAGUCAUCUCACAACAUUGUUUUAGCAUCAAAAUAAAGAGGGGUCCCUCGGUUUAGUGUUGGAUGACGAACAAUUGGUGAAUUAGUACGAUUCGUAAUUAUUGUAUUUGGUUCACUGAAGAACAAAUUGACGUGACCAAUUGAGUGAGUAGUUGGAUUUGUCGAGGGAAUUAAUGAUCAAGUUUAAAUGACCCACGUAUUUGAGACCAUUGAUUUGAGCCAAGUCCUAGUUCGCAAGGCUACCGAGGAUUUAAAUCAUGGAAGCAAUUUUCAAGGUUAUUCGUUUGGUAAGGGUUAGCUAUUGGAUUGUUCCUGUAACACUCCUAACCCGUAUACGUCGAUAAAUUAGGGUUACGAAGCAUUAUCAGAUAAAAUGCAACUUAAUACAGACAUUCAGUAGAAUUCAAAAAUUUUACAUUUAUGUUAAAUUAGUCACAUAAGAAGUAAUUAUAAUUAUAAAUUUUACUUUAAACUUUUAUAACAAAACAUAACAUUUCAGUUCAGUUAAACCGUAAGUAAAAUAAGCUAGUUUCAUAUGGCUAUUAAUUAUAUAUAUAUGGUACAUUAAAGUACGACUUCCAAAAUAUUAUCUAGCCUAUACAUGCCAUAAGUUAAAAUUUAAACGUUUUAAUACCGAGAUAGUAGAUAGAGUGAUGAUCUUCACUAACGAUCCCCGAGUCUGCAGCUUGGUUUUUUUAUCUAUAAAACAAACGGACAAAAACAAUCAAAGUAAGCUUUUAUAGCUUAGUAAGUUUAUAGCAUAUCUAAAAUACAUAUAAACGAACAUAUGUAUAAACAUUAUAUGCUUAUAAUCAAGUUCCAAACAUAGUCAUUAAUAGCAUAUACUGCUUUCUAAUAUACUUAUCAUUUGCAUUUCAUAGAAUGCAUAUCUAUGAUCUUUCAAAUACAUAUGUCAAAAACUUAUAUUUUUACUUAUCAACUACAUAAACCAAAUGCACAUCUAUACUUUUAAUCCACAUGUGCCGAAUGCAUACAUGUAUAUUCAAUAAUUUUCAUAACAACCAAUAUAUGUGCCUAUUCACUAAACACAGAGAUCCAAACCUUUAUAUGCUCAUCAAAUACAUAUAGACAAAUGCUCAUAUACUUAUCCAUUAUAUAUAACCCAAAAUCAUAUAUAUAUCAAAUGCAUAUAAUCGCUUAAUUUAACAUAUUCAUCGGCACUUAGCCUGCUAGGCUUAUAGCCUGAUUCAGUUCACCGGCACUUAGCCUGCUAGGUUUAUAACCUGAUUCAGAUCACCGACACUUAGCCUGCUAGGUUUAUAACCUGAUUCAGAUCACCGGCACUUAGCCUGCUAGGUUUAUAACCUGAUUCAGAUCACCGACACUUAGCCUGCUAGGUUUAUAACCUGAUUCAGAUCACCGGCACUUAGCCUGCUAGACUUAAAGUCUGAAUUAUUUCACUGACAAUAAACCUGAUAGGCCCUGAGCCUGAAAAUCUCAAUUUACAGAAGUUGUAACUCAUAUUCGAACUAUAUUUGUAUAUAAUAUCCAUACAUAAAAAUUCAGCUCAAUAAUUUAUAAACUAUAUCUUUAAACCACAUAGAUAUAUAAAGAUCAAAUACCAAAUUCAGCUAAAUAAUUUAAUUAUACAUCCGAAAAUUCACAUAUAUAUAACUUAAUAAAUUAAAUUCUACUACUAAAAUCUUAUCAUUUAACUUAUAUCAUACCUUAAGUAAUAUAUAUUUACUAAUCGAAUCACUUAAAUACAUAUAUAUUUCAUAACCUUAAAAAUCAAAUCAAAGAAAAUAUAUCAUACAUUCGAACACCUUAUAGAUAAUCUAAGCUAACAAUUUCAUACCUUUGAUUCAAAACAAAAACUUAUACAUGUAUAUACAUACAUAUUCGAAAUUACUUAUACAUACAUAAUAUUCAUACCUUUAAAUAUUUUCAAGACUUAUUUAUGAGUAUAAAUAUAUGUUCCAACUCACAUAUACAUAUAUAUAACUUUCCUACCUUUAACCAAGUCCAAGGUUUUAUACAUGUAUAUGCUCAUAUAUAUAUAUAUAUUCGGACCUUAUGUAUACAUAUAUAUUAUAUAUAUACCUUUGACUAAAAACAAGAAUUUAUACAUAUAUAUAUUUUCGAACAUGAUACAUAGAUAUAUUUUCGAACAUGAUACAUAUAUAUACAUAUCAUUCAUACUUAAACCAAAUUCAAUCCAUAUACUUUCAAUUUCAGCUCAUCAAAAUACAAUAGAUAUACAUGCAUAUAUACUGAUUUAAUAACAUCAAAUUGCUAAUAGACUUACCUCGGAUAUCAGCGAACAAGAUCGACUAUUCAAUUACUUUCGUUUCCCCCGAUCCAAAUCCGUUUUCUUCGUUUCUUGAUCUGAACAUAAUCAAAUUUAACCUUUUUAUUCAUCAAAACAUUCAAUUAAGUCCAAAAAUACAUAAAUGGGCAAAUUACCAUUUUGCCCCUAACAUUUUACACUUUUUGCAAUUUAAUCCUUUUUGCACAAAACACAAAAUACACAAAAUUUGCCCACACUAAGCUAGGGCCGAAUAUUCCUUGUCUUCAUACAAGUCCACACAUUUCAUUUAUUUCACAUUUUAAUCCCUCAAGAAUUCAUUUUCACAAUUUAGCUCUAAUUUCUCAAAUUCACUAAAAAUUCAAAGACAAAAUAUGUUAAUCUAUCACAUUUCUUUCACUUUUCAUCAUCAACUAUCACAAUGUUCAAGCAUUCAUCAAUGGCACAUUUCAAAAUCAUCAACAAUUCACAAAAUUAAGACAUGGGUUUUGAAGUAUUCAAAGCAACGAUCUUAAAAACAUAAAAAUCAUCAAAAAUCGAACUAAAUCCAUACCUUAAUCCAAACUUGAAAGUGCCGAACCCUUAACAAGGUAAAUGGCUUUCUUUUCUUCUCACAUUCAGCCAAAAAAAUGAAUAACAUGCAUGGCUUUUAUUUUAUGUUUUAUUAUAUUAACAUAUUUAACUAAUUUACAAAACUAACCUUAAUGAUUUUACUUUAAUAAUUAACUAACCAUGUCCAUAAAAGUCCACUCAAAAUUUCAAUGGUAUAAUAUCAACAUAAGGACCCCACAUUAUAAAAGUCAUGGCAAUAUAGCACUUUAACAAAUUGCUAGCCACUUUUGCAUUUUACGCGAUUAAAUCCUUUUAUAAAAUCGAGCACACAAACGAUAAAAUUUUCACACAAGUAAAUUUACACAUAAUAAACACAUAAAAUAAUAUUAAAAUAUUUUUCAAACUCGGAUUUGUGAUCCCAAAACCACUAUUCCGAUUAGGGUCAAAACCGGGUUGUUACAGUUCCUAUAGUUAAUUUACAUAUGGAACGACUGGUGGUUUAAGACUAUUUCUCAAUCACUAUAAUCAACUUAUCAGUUGGAUGAGAAAAUCCAUUAUUUGGGAUCAGUUCAAAAUCGAAGUCAAAAUCGUGCUUGAAGUUGGAGCUUUCAUAUUAUUAGUUUAUUCAAAUCUAAUUUCAUUUGCUUAUUUUAUUUUCAUUUUUAUUUUUUUAAAUUUCUUCUAUUUAUUUUAUAUUCAUAUUUAAUUCCCCUUCUUUAAUUUCAUGGAUUAACCUAAUUCUUGGUCAUAAGAAAUAAUAAAAUUGAUUAGUGUAGCCUUUAUGGGAUCGACCUUACUCUCUAGAUUACAAAACGUAGUGACAGAUUCAAUAUUUUUCAGCACUUAACGAACUUGUUUUCUAAGCAUUUUAAUAUCUUUUAUUGCAUUUUCGCAUUUCCUAGUUUAGGAUUAAAAUAUUGCAAAAUAGGUGUUUUUACUCAUUAUUUCGAGUUAGUUGACCUAAUUUGGCCAAUAUCGACCUUAAGGUGAUUUUAAUAAUUAACUUGAGUGUGCAGGACACCUAAUUUUAGGCCCAAGAGCAUAAGAAAUGGAAGUUGAGUUGUAACACAAGCUUUCAGAGUCGCAACACAACCGAGCUAAUCAAGAAAGUCACAUUUAGAGUUAUGUGUCAUGACACAGGUGCAAUGUGAGGCCAAAAAUAAGCAAGGGUGUUCUCGUCCAUAAAAUACAUCUUUUUAUAUAAUUAAGGCUGGUGUUUACCUUAAUUAGGGCUGCUAAACUCUCCUACAAAUAGUUAAGUUGUGGAAAGCUUUGGGAGUUUUUUGCUACAUUAGUUUUAGGGUUUAUUUUAGUAAAUUUAGGUUAGUUUAGGUUUUAUUAUUUUAAUAACAUUUUUUUGUCACACCCGAUUUUCUCUUAAAUCCUAAAAUUUAAGGAAAGUUAGGAUUAAAUUGAAUGAAUUGGCAAAUUCACGGGCUUUACCUAGAAAUUUAGAAAUUUUAGUGGUUGAACUAUGAUUAGUUGAAUCUCAAUUAUGGUUUAAUUAGAUUGGAACCGACUAUCUCCCUAGUGGGAGACAAAAUGAUUAGUAGAGAUUGGCUAAAAUGGACUAAGGAUACCAUGCAAACUUUGGCUAUAAAUAUUUGUGGGUGGAGAGGAAAGAAUUCUUCUGAAUUUAGCUAGUAAUCUCCUUCUCGUCUGCAACGUUUUCUUUGGUUACUUCAAAGAAGAAAAGAAUGUUCGAGAAAGCUCUGCAUGAUGUGGUUAAUGUGAAGUUCAUAUUGGGAAAUGCGUCCAUAUUGUAGUAAACAUGUAGCUGUUUUUUUAUUUAUUUGAACGAUGAAUAAAUAAAUAAAGUUAAUUUCACAUUUCACUGUUAUGUCUUUUUUAUUUAUGUCUUUUAUAUUUUGCAUGCAUAAUUUAUUGUGGCAGGUAAAUAUUAGCUCAUUAAUUGUCUAAGUUCAAAUUGACGAUAAGUGGCAUUGAAAGAACGUUUACAUUACAAGAAAGAUAACUUACUUCAAUAGAUAAUCUAAAUGAGUCCGUAAUGCCAUAAAAGAAUUAAAGUGAAUAUUUGAUUCAAAUACUGAGAAGGAUUAUUAUGUCGUCUACAAUUCCGAUUGGGGAGAUGUCUAGCCUUGGUUAUCGGAGUAGUUGACUCCACAAAUAGAGACAUAGAUGUAUUCAUUGGUAGAAUGAUAUAUUAGACUGGACCCAAGAUGAAUUAAUUUUGAAUUCGUUUGUGAAUUAAUUCACUUGUGACGUUCAUGGUGUGAUUUACCUAAAUCCUGAGUUAGUCACUAACCAUGCGUAUGCAAAUCAUGAUAUAAGUGGAGGCUUAUGCUCUAAAGAUGAUCGAGCCCAUAGCCGGUAUGUUGGGUACAUGACUUGUGUAUGGCAUGACUUUACUAGCAAUAAUGGAGUUCAUAGCUCAAUUAAAGAGUUAAUGAUAUCCUCUUAUUGGCAUUGUGUGGAUUGAUAAAUAUGGAACAUGGUCACGGGUUGCUUGUUCUCGAAAGAGCAAUUUAUCCAAAUCAUUUGUUGAUAGUGAUCAUAUUAAUCAUUAAGAAGACACAAUGGUGACAAUGAGAUAAAAUAAGAUUGUAUUGAGUGAACGGAUUUAACUCAAAGGAAACAAGGAUAUCAUAUGAGGGCAACAUACACAUGACGAGGUCAUUGGACAAAGGAUUUGGAUGAAUUGCUUUCGUAAAGAGUAUACAAUAAUGAGUUUUUAAUCAUAGUACUUCUUGUGGACUGACUCCAUGAUUAAGUAAUUGCGAAUUAUCAAAACAGUGCUUCUGGACAUAAUUGCAAUCACGAAAGCCUAAUUGUAUAUGUCUGAUUGGUCCCUCCACUAGCUGAACAAAAGCUUGAUCGGACUGCAUUUGAAUUAGAAAAAAAUUCUAUGACUUAGGAAAUAAUUUAAUUGAGUCGAUUUAUUCAAUGUGGAAUUAAAUUAGGUGGUCGUGAGAAUUGUUCAACUAAAGAAUUUGAUUAAAGAAGUUUCCUGAAAAAUUAAUUUGGAAAAUCCAAGUGAUUUUUGAGAAAAUUAAUUUUGAUCAAGUAAAAUUAAAUUAAUCAAAUUAAUUAAAAUUAAUAUGAUAUUUUUGGAAAUUAAUUUUCAAGUUAGACAAUUGGCCCAAUGGGUAAUUGAACUUGAAAAUUGGACCAAAUAUCGUAAAUUGGGCUCGGAAGCCCAAAAUCGAGACCAAGACCCAAAAACAAGUCGAAUCGAUCUUGGUAUGUGAAACCGGAAAGACGAUCCAAUCGAUGGUUAGACCGAAACGGUCAGGUCAUCAUUGACCUAGACCGAACCGACAGCAGCCGAAUUGGCUCAAUAUGCCAUUAGGGUGUCGCACCCGCAUCACCAAACACGACGGUGUUGGUGGUUGCGACGACGGCGUCGCGGUGGCUAGCGGCGGUUUGUCAUCAGUGGUUGAGCAAUUAAAGAGUUGGACUCUACCAGAGAAUUUGAUUUCAAAUUAAUUAUUGGAAAAAUAAUAUUAUUUUAAUAGUUUAAUAUUAAAUUAUAUUUAAUAUUUAUCUUAAUAGUAUUUUAUUAAUUUAAUAUUAAAGUGAUUAUCUUAAUAUUUAAUUUAAUUUAAUUUAAUGUUUAUUUAUCUAAGAUUUAAUAUUAAAUGUAAUUUAAAUUUAUCUUGAUAAAUAUUAGAUUAAAUUUAAUAUUAAAGUAAUUAAGUUUAAUCAUAGUUGAACUCUCUAAACUCUCCCUAUAUAAAUAGAGCCUUGGGUCAUUAUUUACACACACUUGAAUUCAAGAGAAAGUUGUAGAAAGAAAAUUCUUUAAAGAGAUUAUUCUAGAAAAUUUUUAGAGGUAUUUUUUGAUUUACAACUUGACCCAAAAGUUUAGAGAAAUUGCAAAAUUACCCUACUGGUAAAUUUUGUGAGAAAUUUUCUGAUUCGAAGCGAGCCUACACUCGACAGACAUGAGCUUGAGGUAGUGGAGAAGACUACUCGGUCAAACCGCUCAUCCUAGACGAAUCGAAAAGGUACAAUUUUGAUUAAGCGUUUAUUAGUUUAGAUAUCACAACCAAGAUCUUGUUUCAGAAAAAAAAUUAAAGCUCUGGUUUUUCCCUAAAUUUAAUUUUCGUUGCAUUUUCCAAACCCUUUUUUCCAAUAGUUCGAAGUCUGAGAAACCAAGAAUUCGAUAGACUGGUAAGCCUUAAACCUCCCUGUACUCGUGGGUUAAAGGAAAGAGAAGUAAGGAUUCUCGAAAAGUUUCUAUAUAAUUAUGGAUUCUAGGUUUUAAAGUUUGAAUACCUUCAAGUUAUCCGAUAAAUGGUUACUAUGCUUAGCUGCCAGGACAAAUGAGGCUCUAGCGUUUGAACAAGCUAAGCUUGCAAGGAAGAAGGACGUAAGGUGAGUUUCAUGUAUUCUACCUUUAGGUGGUUAUUGAAGUUGAAUUGCUUGAAUGAUCUGCGUCUGUAGUUGUUUUGAGUCUGUAAAAUUCAUAAUCGUGUAUGAAUAUGGUAAAUGAGUGUGUUGUGAAUGUAUAACCCGGAACAAGUAUGUGAAUGCUUUUAAGUAUGAUUGUUAAAUGUCAUAUGAUGGUGAAUUGACGUAUAAAUAAGUGGUGUAUUGUAUGUUAAGUAAUAAAUACCUUGAUUUGCAUGAUAUGUAUGAUUAUAGUGUAUGUGCAGAACAAAUGUCUUUUACCUUGACGAGGUAGAUGAAGUUAGGAAAAAAUUGGCAGAACGGGGGAAUGGGUGGAUUGUUAAGGGUUGAAAGGGAGUAUGACAAUGUCAUGAAAUAUUAUCGAUUGGCUCGCUAAAGCGACACCUAUUGACUCUAUGGAGUGACACCGUGACAGCGGUAGGGUUCUUCAGAGCGACACCUCAAAAGUGGUAUAAGGUGUAAGAUCAUAGCCUAACUAUGAAAACCUAUAGAAUCCACUAGGAAAUUAAACGUGGGGUUACAAGGUGUAAGACCAUAGCUGAUCUAUGAUAACUAAUAGAUAAAGGUCCGCCAGGACAGUGAACAGGAAGCUGAUAGGAUAAGGGAAGGAGAACAUUGUAUGAUUCUCAUGAAGAGUAGUAUGAUUAGAUGAAUACGACACGUAUUAGAUCACGGGUAAGCAAGAUAGUCAAGAAUCUACCAAAUUGAAACGGAAAAGAAACCAAAAUUUGUGAUCUUUAACGAUGAUGAGAAAGUGGGAAAAAACUAUAUUUAGGCAUGAAAUAUUCCAUUGGUAUGAUUCCACAGAUUUUGAAUAAUAAACUAAAAUUUAGAUCACAAUGAGAUGCCCAAAUAGAACCUAAAUCUAAGGGUCCGUGGGUAGAAAGGGCAGCCAAAGAUGGGUAAGUCCACCGCGGGCUACUUAGAGAUAAUGAUCGCUUGAAUAGUCUGAAUAGUAGAGUCUACCAUAGGUUUACAGAGAUAAAGGAUGUAUAACUAAAACUCUGUAACACAGGAUAGUCCACAAGGGCCAUCAGACUAGAAAGUCUGCCAAGGGCUACCUUGGGUGGACAAUUCGUCGGGAAGUAAUAGAAGAGGGCUACAUUGCGAGGUACAAAUCCACCAGGAAAAUGGGGGUAUCUAUUCAAACAACUUACCAUUAGGCUUAAAGUGAAGAAUAAGAACAAGAGAAAGUGUCCUCCCUCUUGGAUGAACCACGAUAAGACUAAUUAAAAGGAGGCUAUUGUAAGAGUAAGGUGGAACCCUCCUAAGUUUAGUCUAGUAUUAGAUGAAUCAAUUAGAGUAAGGAUCCAAAGUGGAUGUGAGUAUAAUUAAAGACAGCCAAUGGUAUUCAACGAAAUUUAAUCCAAGUGUAUGGUGAGCAUUAGAAAAGGGCAAGGUUUUGACCAUGUCAGUAAAUCUGCGGAACGCGAGAGGAUAAACAGGGAGUUCAAAAUUUUUACUUCAAUAUUUUAUUUCCUGACGGACAUGAAAUAUUGUCAUUUCUCCUUUCCACAAAGCCUCACUAGGUUCAUUUGAACUUAUGAAUUUAUUGCUUAUUUGUAGGAUAAAUGUUUCAUCUCGAGAAUCGAGUGGAUGGACCAAGCUAGACACCGCCAAAUUUGAGGGAUGGGAGAGGAAGUCGUUCAUGUGUUUAGAGUGGCUCCCUUAGAGGCCAUGCCUCGGGGAUUAAGCUAGAUGUAUCAGUUUUAAAGACUUAAUUUAGAAUUGUAAAUACUACUAAAAUUUAUAUGGUAGUAAAUUUGUAAAAGUUCUAUUUCUUAAUUGGACAGUGUCCAAAUACUUAAAUAAAUUGUUUUAGAAAUUUUGUUAGGUUAUUGGGUUGUUUGUGGCUUUCGAUACUUGGACCCAGUGAUUGGGUUGGGUAUAGGGUGUUACAUUUUUAUUUCUUGAUUUUCGGCUUGAUUCGAUUUAAAUCCAAGUCUUUGUAAUUUCAAUAUUUCAGUAUUUUUUCUUUUUUUAUUUGUUUGCAAAUGACGAGAUUUCACUAUUCCGAACACCCCAAGAUAUCAUACAGACAAUUUUUAUCUUUUAUCUUUUAUAUUAUUUUGUGUUCUUGCAUGAUUAAUCUAAUCGUAGGAAAGAUGGUUUUUGAGAUGAUGAGUGACUAAAUCUUUAGGGAGAUUAAUGAGCAGAAGUGAAGAGUGAUUAACGAAAGAGUUAAGGUUUUUCCAGUAGGAUUAAUUAGUGUAAAUACAUGUGUUCUUAAACCUAGGCUUGACGACUCUAGGAAGUAAUAUAGGUAAAUGGAUCGAGAAAUGAGGAUACCGUGUAAAUCAUGUAUUUAUCCCAGUUAGGAAAGUAAGGCCGAGAGGUAAGCGUGUACUGGUUGAUUAGUUAGACAGUAGAGGCCGAGAGGUAAUAUUGUCUAGGUAAUAAUUAAUUUUCUCAUAAAAGCCUUAAGUUUGAAAUUGAUUACAACCACAGAAGUGAGUUAGUCUUCUAUCUAUAAGUCUGAGUGAUUUUUUGUUUAUUGACAUUAUUUUCCUAGUUUUGAUUUUUAAUUUUUUUCCCUUAUCUUAAUCUUUUCUAUUUAUUGUCGUAAUAUGAUUUUUAAUAAGUACUAUUUAGACCUAAUACUGUAGAUAAUAAUAUUUUUAGAUUUAAUUCAACCUCUCUUAGGUACGAUCCUCGGAAUACUUCCCGGUGUUUCAUUGUAACACUAAUCUAUAUUACAAUUUAAUCUGUUCGCUUGCAAAUAUCACACUUAAUUUAUAUUUAUUUGCACGAUUUUAACUCUAAACGUUCGCAUGUUUGGAGGCAGUCGAAAAACAAUCUCCUAGUUGAACUAGGCGAGAGAGGGGCAGCUAACCCUAGUUAUUUUAUUAGGGUUUUCUCCCCCCAUACUUGUUAUGAGGGGGUUUUGGGCCUCUCCUACAUCGAAUCCAAUUAUAUGUACUUCUUGGACUUUUAACUCAACACUUUAUAAUUUAAUCCAACACAAUACAUGUUUUUCUAUUUUCCAAAAUAAAUAUUAUUUUUUUUAAAUUAAUUUUCUAAUUAAAAAAAUAUUACAACUCAAUUUUAAUUCCGUUAAAAUCAUGAAAACUUUACUGUAAAAGAAUCUAUGAGAAAAUAUUUAAUUUCCACUUUCAACAUAUUCAUAAUGAACAAUUAAUUUAAUUCCAUUUUUGAACCUAUUCAUUUCUGUUCAUUUUAUUCAACAUGUAAUUCAUUUCUGGUUUCAACGAGCCAGCGGAGGGACCAAUUGGACAUAUGCGAUUAAGGUUCAAAUGAUUUAUAAUUAAAUUCCAAUUUUUUGCCUAUUAAUUAUAAACUAAUUUACUCACGAACUCAUUCCAUUAUAGUGUCGUGACUAAGCUCUCCCAACGACAUAUCAUUAGAAAGUAACUCAAUUAGUGUUCAUCUAAUGACCUUAUCAUAAGUGUGUUAUCCUCAUAGGAUAUCCUUAAUCUCUUUGGGAUAAAUUCAUUCUCUCAAUAUGGUCAUAUUUUAGCUCACAGUAACCAUUACAUCUUCUUUCAUAAAAAGCCAAUCACCAUCAAAUAAUAAUUAAGUCAUUCAUCACAAAUACAAACGACCCGUGCCUACAUUUGCUUUUCAUCUAUCAUGUAAUGCCAAUGAGAGGAUAUCAUUGUAACAACCUGUUUUUUAGUGGUGUCAGAAAUAGUAGUUUCAGAACCACAAAUCCAACAAGUGAGCCCGUAAAUAUUAUAAUUUCAUAUUUACAUGUCAAAUAUAGUAUUAUAUUAAAUAGUAAUUUGAACAUUUUUGCUAAUUGAACGAACAGUUAAGUAUAAGUGAUUUAUCCCUAAAGUUAAAUGGUUUUGAAAAAUGAGGUUUCGGGAUCUCAUUUCUGUAAACUGAGCCUGUAAAUAUUUUUAUUAAAUAUUUAUGAAAUGACUAUAUAUGUGUAUUGAUGUUUGAUUCGGAAAUUCUAGCGAUUGAAUGGUUAAUUAAGAAAAAGGACUAAAUCAUAACAAUCGUAAAAAAUUGAUUCCAUUGAAUUUAGUUGUUUAGUGACUUAAUUAAAUUUUAUUAAGGGAUUUAAGUGGUAAUUUAGCCACUUUCAUAAUUUUUAGAAGAUGAGUGCAUGUUUUGCUAAUUAUAUUAUAAUGUUAUUUUAAAAUUUAAAUUAAAUAAAGGUUAGUUUAAUAAAAACAAAAUUAGGGUCAUCUUCCCCAUUUUAUUUUCUUCCACCAAAACCAUAAAAUAACAAGAAGCUAUAGCCAUUUUCUUGAAGCAUAAUCGACAUUUGCAUGUGAGUACUCUUUCAGCUCGUUUUUAGUGAUCUUUAUGUUUUUUUGAUCGUUGUAGCUUAAUCUAUCUAACUCGGGAGUUAAUUCAUAAAUUUUUUAAAUUUUUUGAAUUGUGUCAUUGUUGAGUUUGAGGUAUUUUUGAAGUUUGAUGGUAUAUUUAUAAGCUUGAUAGCUAAAUAGGACUAUUUUGUAAUGUAGUUUUUAGUGAUUUUAAUGUUUAAGGGCUAAAUUAUUAAAAUAGUAAAAUUUCAUGAAAUUAUUGUGAAAUUGUGAAAUAUAUGGGCUAUACAAAGACUAUAAGAAACUCAGGUAGUAUGGUUUGGGCUAUAUUUUGUUUAAUUUGAAAGAUCCGGGUUUAGGGGUUAAAUUGCAUAAAGGAUAAAAUUUUAGGGUAAAAUUUAAAAUAAUAAAAGGGUUUAUAUGCAUAAGUUUAAUUAUUUAAGUUGUUUUAAAAGGUUAAUUGGAUUAAAAUUAUUAUUUAGAUCAAGAAAUGAAUCAACUGGACAAUAAUCAUGGAAAAGGAAAGUUAGUAGAGUAAACAUUGGUGUCGCGUUCGUAGCCAUUUUUUAAUAGGUAAGUUGUAAAUUGAUUAAUUAAUUAGUUGUUGUAGUUGUGAUUUAAUAAUUGUCUACGAAUGUUGUGAUUGUGUUUAUUUUCUUGAUAAAUGGUAAUUGAUGAAAUGGAUUAAGUUGCAGUGCUAAUAAAAUUAAAGGUUAUGAUUGAAAAUGGAAAACUAUAUAGAUGAGUUCUUGUGAUGAAGUAAUUUAUAUAUAAUUAAGUGAUAUGAAUAAGAAACAUGACUUGUAUGAACCUCAUGAAUGCUUAGGAUACAAAUGACAUGUUGAUCUACCACAAAUUGACGUGGAAAAUUAGGCUUUUCCUACACACUUAAGGAGCUUUUUCUCAAGCAAAAUAUAAUUUUUAGCAUAGUUUUUCAUUAUUUUCAUAUUUUCAUAUUUUCAAAUAAUAAGUGAAAAUGUCUCAAUUUUGUCUAUUUUUUACCCAAAUUGGCCGAUAGUGUCAUUUGGUGGCCUAACGUGUGUUUGAAUGCUAUAGAGAAGCGUUAGAGGUUGAAAACGAGUGAGAACGACACCAAGGGCAAGGGUAUAGCGAUAGCCAACCCUUGGAAUCGUGACAUCCCAGACAAAAAGACCAAGUAUUCCCUUCAGUGGUAUCACAAUAUCACCUUCGUCAGGGGGACAAACUUGGACAAAAAGGGAAACCUUUAUCUACUUGUCCCACCAAUCACCCGUGUAAGGGCAUUUUUUACAUCGAAAAGUCAUCAAAAUACACUUCAAAAAAAAUCAAAAAUUGCUAAGGAGGAGGGGAAACACACAUUAGCUUAGUUUAGGUUUAGGUUUCUCUAGUUUUUCUUUAGUUUUCUCUGCACUUUUUCUAGGGUUUUUAUUUUUCUCUUAUUCUACCUUAGAUUAGAGUUUAUUUUUCUGCAUUUACUUCUUGUUCUUGAUGUUCAUUAUGUUAGUUAAGUUGGUUAACACUGUAGCUAAGAUUUAUUUACAUUUCUAGUCCCUGUACUUUGCUUUCAGGACUACCUAAGCUUUAGUUUAAUGUAUUUCAAUUUAUUUUACUUUAAAUCUGUCAAAGCUUGUUCAUUUUAUAUUUCUUCCUUUAGAUUUGUUUGUUAACUUUUUUUUGGUUUCAUGCUAUUUAAGUUUUUUUUGUAUAAAAAUCUCAACUUUUGUAUUUUUCUUAAUCUUUACUUUCAUGGAUGCCUUAUUUUCCAUUUCUAUGUUUAUUUUCUUUAUUUUCAGUAUGUGUAGCUAAACCUUUAAGAAGGUUGGUUGAAGGAGAUGUGGAAAACUAAAAUCUUUAGAAAAUGGUCUAAAUCGUAACAAAUUGGACUAAUUUGAAUAAAACUUAGCUAGUGAUGCCCCUAAGGGAAUAUUAAGAUAAAGUGAGACUAGAAGGUAAUCUUGUCACGCACCCUUUCAUUAGUUCCAGAUUAACCAAUGAGGUCGGAAGAUAAGUUGCACCUAAUUUGUCUAAGUCGGUAAAAUUGACAUCGAAAGAUAAAAUAGAGCCACUUAGUAAUUUAAGCGAUUUAUGUCCCGAGUUCAAAAUUUGGUGAACCACCUCGAAGUCAACUAACCCCCAUUAGUUAUUUGUGAGAUAGUCCCUGCAGUUUACAUUCUUUCAAUUUAGUCAUUAGGGUAGAAUAUUUAAUUUUCUUUCAAAAAUAAUCUUUUAUGGACUGUCGUACUAUAAAAUCAUACUAGUAGCCACUUAGACUCUAUUGUGUAUGCUAGUUAUUGCUCAAUCACCUCUUCCUUUGGGUUCGAUCCUUAGAAUACUUCGGUGUUUCAUUGUAACACUAUAAAUAUUACAACUGACUUGUACUCUUGCAGUAAAAUUGGGUUUUAAAAAUAGUUUCAUAAAUUCGUUGUUUUAAUGCGCAAGCGUGUAACAACCCGUUUUCAGUGAAAUCGAAACAAUAGUUUCGAGACCAUAAAUCUGAGCCAAAAGAAAAUUUAUUUUAAUAUUAUUGCAUGGUCUGCAUUAUGAUAGGAAUGACAUAUGAAAAUUUUGUUGAGAAAAUUUUACCAAUUACAUGCUUAAUUAUAAAAAGGACCAAAUUGCAUAAAAUGCCAAAGUUGAGUUCUAGUUGCUAUAGUUGCUAUAGGUCCUUAUAUAGCAAAUAGACCAUUAAGAGGAGUUAGUAGAUAAAUGUGAUGAUUCAUCCAUGGAAAAUUAAAUAAAGAAAAGAACUAAAUUGGAAAUUGAAAUAAUUAAAGAUGAUAAUAAAAUAAUAUCAUCUUAUUUCAUCAUCUUCCCCAAAUUAUUUUAUGAAAACCCUAGCUAAGAGAAAAGACAUCAAGCAAGCUUAAUUAGGUAAGUAAUCUUGUCUCGUUUUUAGUAAUUUUUAUAUUCUCGAUAUCGUAAUAAUCUAAUCUAGCUAUUUUGCAGAUUAAUUUGCAAAGUUACCAAAGUAUUAAAACUUUGACAUGGAUAAGUAUGCUGGAAUUUUAAAAUUUAUGAUAGAAAUUGAAAGGUUAUUGAUAAAUAAACAACUUUUGUAAUUAUGAUUUAGGGACUAAAUUGUAAAGAUGGAAAAGUCAUGGAAAAAUUUUAAUUUUUGUGAAAUACAUGGGCUAUAAAUGUUACUUGUAAAAAUUGACUAGGCUUGGAAUAAUGAUUAAAUUGCAUGAAUUUCAUUUUCUGAGCCUAGGGACGAAAUCAUAAUUAAUCAAAAGUGUAGGUGAAAAAUUGUAAUUUUGCCUAGGAUGUGAAUUGAAUUGAAUAAGAAUUGUAUUAAAUUGAGUUAAAUUUACUCGUAUAGAUCCAGAAAGAUCAAAUAAGGAGUUAGAUCGAGGAAAAGAAAAAGUGUCGGAUUAGUAGAUUUUCAUACACGAGCAAGUGUUGAGGUAAGUUCAUGUAACUAAAUUGUGCAUAUUUAUAUUUUUGAAUUAAAUGUGUAUAUGUGAAUUGUAUAUUUUCCAUGUAUAUGAAAUUUCUUUAAUAUCCGAUAAUGCCGAAUAAAUGUUAAGUCUCGUUUGAACAAAUGAAAAUCGAUGGAUACAAGUUUUUCCGUAUUGGUUGUAGUCUUGUGUAUGUUGCAGAUAAACCACUGCUCGAAAGAGCGUCCUGUUAUUAACCCUUUCAAGCUUUCCAUUAUAUAGUUCUUGUGAGCUUCCCAUUAUAGCUCUUCGGAGUUUCCCGAUAGGUGGUGAUUCUACAUGUGUUGUGGACACACCUUAGCUCUUAUGAGUGUCCCAAUUAAAGGCUUUUCACGAGCUUCCCGUUAAAUUGACUCUUUGUGAGCUUCCCGAUAUGACUCGCUUGAACUUCCCGUUAUUAAUCUAUCUGGAGCUUCCCAUUAUUGGCUCUUUGGAGCUACCUGUUAUUAGCUCAUAUGAGCUUCCUGAAUAUGGCUCUUAUGAGCUUCCCGAUAUAAAGCUCGGAUAAGCUCCUGUUACAUGGCUCACAUGAGCUUCCCGUUAUAUGGCUUGAGAGAGUGCUUCCCGUUAAUGUGCUAUUAUGAGCAUUCCUAAAUAUGAAUUGACGAAUUACAGUUUUGUACACUUAGUGUGUACUACCCGUGUUGUAACACCCCUUACCUGAGACCGUUUUCGAAGUCGAGCACGAGGCGUUACUUUACUUGUCUUACUAGUUUGAGGCAUAAAAAUUUGCUUUUGAAACUAAUCUCACUAUUUACAAUAAAUCUAUCCAAUCGCAUAGCAGUUACUAAAUUAUUUAUAACUCAAGAUACAGAACUUGAAAUUUAAAUCCGUAAAUUUUUCCUGAAACUAGACUCAUAUAUCUUUUUACCAUAAAUUUUUCAAAAUUUUUGGUUCGACCAAUUAGUACAGUUUAAUAGUUAAAGUCUCCCCUGUUUCACUACUUGGCUGUCCUAACCUUUUAUCACUAAAAUUUAAUUAUCUCAUUGUACAGACUUCAUAUGGUGUUCUCACUUGUUUAUACAGAAAAUAGACUCAAUAAGAAUUCUAUAAAUAUAAAUUAAAACUCAUAACUAUUUUUGUACAAUUUUUAGUGAUUUUCUAAACUCAGAAUAGGGGACUUCAAAAAUAGUUCUGACCAUGUCUCACCAAAAUUCACAUAUCUCAAAAUAUAAAAUUCCUUUUGUUAAACCGUUAUUUUUACAUGAAAAUAGACUCAACAAGAUUUCAUUAUAUAUAUCAUACACCAUCUAAUUCAUUAUAUACUAUCCUAAGUGAUUUUUCAAAAUCACGUCACUGCUGCUGUUUGAAAUCUAUUUCUUUGCAAAUUAUUACUCUUUCAUGAUUUCUAUGCAUAAUUUAUCACCUAAACAUGUAUAACAACAAACACCUUCAUACUUAGCCAUUUUGACAACCAUUCAUCAUUAGAUAUUUACACAUCAUUCUUUAGCAAAAUCAUAAUACAACAUUCAAAAUAAGUAAGUCCUUAUACAUGCCAUAGUUCAAACAUAGUUCAUCAUAAAAUACCGAGUCAUUGUGGUUGAUAGUGUGGACGAUCUCUGACGUCUUUAGAAUCCUCGAAUUUGAUUAAUAAUGCUAUAUAAAAAGAAAAUAAACAAAGUAAGCAUAAUGCUUAGUAAGUUUACAAGUAAAUAAAUAACAACAUUUAACACAAUUAAUAAUACUCAAGUGACAUAAUCUUUAAUUUCCUCUUUACUUACUUCCUUACUUGUUCUCUUGCUUGAUUACUUAGUAACUCAUAAUUAUGACUUACUUUUCUCUUGCUGAAACGUUGAUUUUCAAUGGGUAGCAUAAUAUACUCUUGACUCUUAUAACUCACUUGAACUUGCCAUUUAUGCUUUUAACUGAACUUUAAUGAACAUAAGUUAUUUACUAGCCUGUUGAGCCACAUUGGAAUAAUAAGGAUACUUGGGUCUCUUUUUGAUAAUAACAUGCCAAAGCCAUGUCCCAGACAUGGUCUUACAUGGGAUGUUUCAUGUACUGCCGAUGACAUAUCCCAGAUAUGGUCUUACAUGGGAGUUCUCAUAUCGGUGCCUAUGCCAUGUCCCAGACAUGGUCUUACGGGGGACCUCUCAUCUCGGUGCCAAUGCCAUGUCCCAGACAUGGUAUCACAUGGGACCUCUCAUCUCGGUGCCAAUGCCAUGUCCCAGACAUGGUCUUACAUGGGACCUCUCAUGAUCUCAAGGAUGCCAAUGCCAUGUCCCAGACAUGGUCUUACAUGGGAUCUCUUUACCCAAAUGUCAUGACAUUUGUAUCCAAUACAUUCCUUAUGUUUCAACGGGACUUUUUAAUAUCAAUUCUCUAUCGUCUCAUACUUGAAUCAACAUCAAAUAAAUUCAUAAAAUAAAUACAUAAUUUCUGGAAAAUAGCAGCAUUAAUAAUAAUUAUUGAAAUAUUGCAUUUAUUUACCGUAAACUUACCUCGGUACCAAAUAUAGCCAAAUCUACCACUUAGUCUUUAAUCUUAUUCUUUCCUCGAUCUAACCUCGAAUUCCAUUCUUCUUGAUAUAUAAUAGCAAAUUUAAAUUAUUUAAUACUCACAUUCAUUAAUACAGCCCUCGACUCUAACUUUGGAAAAAUUACAAUUUUGCCCCUAAACUUUUACAUAAUUACACUUUUUCCCUAAAGCUCGAAAAUUAAACUUCAUCUCUUAUUAUUAUGUUUUACAACAUGCUGAACAUUUUUCUCUUCUAUGACAACAUCAAAUUCUCACUCUAACAUCUACUUAUGAACAUUAGGUAUUUUACCGAUCAUGUCAACUUACUCAUUUUCGCUUAAAAUCGGCUAGCAAAAGUUGUUUAACAUAAUUUAUAGCUUCAUAUUCUAUCAUAAAACAUCAAAAUAAACACUUUUCAACUAUGAGUAUUUUUCCAAAUAUAAACCAUAGGUUAAAUUAUUGUUAGAAUAAGCUAAAUUAAGCUACCGGGAUCUCAAAAACGCAAAAAGCAUUAAAAACGGGGCUCAGAAUCACUUACUAUGAGCUUGAAAAAGUGUGAAAACCCUAGCUAUGGUGUCUUUCCAAAUUCGGCAGCAAGCUAUGGAGAAGAUGAUAUUUUUUCCAUCUUUUUCUCUUUUUAUUCUUUUUAUUAUUCAUUUACUAAAAUACCCUUCAAUAAAACUUUAGUUAUUUUUAUCUAUGCAUGCCUAUUUUUGUCCAUGGAAAUUUUAUGGUCUAAUUACUAUUUAAGGACCUCUACUUUGAUUAUGCACUUCAAAUAAAUCCUUUAUCAUCUAAAACUCAUAUUUACCCACUUUUGCAAUUAAGUCCUAAUAGGCAAUUUAGGCAUGCAAUCAAUAAAAUUUCUUAUCAAUACUCUAAUACUUAUAUCUAAUCACUCGAUAAAUCAUAAAAAUUAAUAAUAAUUUCUCUUUAAAUCAAAUUUGUGGUUACGAAACCACUAUUCCGAUAACCUUAAAUUUGGGCCAUUACACGUGUAUCCAUCGAUAUUUUAAAUGAUUCAACGGGCAAAAUCCUGACAUGAUAACAUAUGAAUCCAAAUUGAAUCGUUACCCAUAUAUAUAUGUAUAUAUAUAUGUCGAAACCAUUUUUACUUGAAAAAACGGGGAUCGACUUUUAAACAUAGAAAUGGAGUCGCCACUGAUAUUUUAUUGAGGUGUGAUCAGUUCACCUUGAAAACGAUUUUAGGUCUACAAAUGUUGAGAAAACUAGUUCGGGAGUCGGUUACGCACGAAGAAGGGUUAACACCCUCGCAACGCCCAAAAAUUGGUACUGAAUUGAUUGUUUAAUGUCUUAGUAUUGAGAAUUUAAAAAGAUUUUAAAAUACAAUCCUUUGAAAAGAAAAUUUGAACAAACCGAAUUGGAUGAUAAGAUAUACUCAUUUCAAAGAGAUAAAUUUUUAUACUCAGUGAGUUAGGGUGCAACAAUUUAAUCUUCGAAAUUAAGUUUAUCUUUUAACUUUAAAAACUCAUGCAUUUAAAUUUGAGAAGGAUAUUCAGUUAUUUGGGUCAAAUGAGAAAUCAAAACCUAGUAAGUUAGGGUUCAAUUUUCCAAAAUUCCUAAAUACCGAAUAUUGCCUUUAUUUUUUUUAGAGAAAAAGAAAAUCUUCAUCUCAAGAAAACAACAUGUCAUAUCCAAUGCGUUAGGUCACAACGUAUCAAAUUCCCGAGAAUGAGCUUUUUAUUUAUGUGUUUUGAUUAAAGAAUAUUCUCGAUUAUUUAGACUCAACGAGGAAAAUUAGAACCCAAUACGUUAGGGCUCAAUCCUCUCGAAGAUCUCAAAUACCGAGUAUUACGUUAUCUUGAAAAAUGAUUUCAAAACUUAAACCAUAUUAAACGCAAUCUUUUGAGCGAAUAGAGCGCAAUGGAAUAAUAAUGUACAAUAUGAAGCAAUAAUUAAUAAGCCAAAGUAUACACUAAUAAUCAUCAAUAACCAAUAAAUACUAAUAAAUAAUAUAAUAAAUAGGCGGGCAAUAAUAUCCAACACACAUCAUGCGAACACAAAUAUCAACAUUCAACAACUAAAUGAGUUAAUCAUCGAUUUUGGAAGAAAAGCUAAGCGAAACAAUAUAAAUAAAAUGUAACAAGUUUUCAAAUAAAUAAAAUGAAUAUUGAAAUAUAUCAAAAAGUUAGAAAUGAAUACUAUAUGAAAUAAUAAUAUAUAAAUGAAUUUUCAGGUAAAUAUUACAUGAAAAGAAACUCAAAAUAUAUAUACAUAUGCUAAUUUAAAUAAAUGAUACAUACAAAAUGAAAAGAAAACUUUAUAAUAGUAUAUGUAUGAUAAAUUUAGAUAAUAUUAAUUUAAAAUAAUAGCAUAUUAUAUUUUAAAUAAUUCUAAUGAUAAACUUUAAAACCAUAUUAAAACUUAAAUAUUAAAAUAAUGCUAGGUUUAUAAAUAAAUAUAUAUAUACCAAAGUCAACAAAAUCGAAAUAAAAUUUUUAGAAAAUGAAUAUAUUGAAUUAUGGAUUAAACCGGAUUCAAAACAAAAUCAUAAGGGAAAAACAAAAAUAAAAUAUAAUUAAGGAGCCAAAAUGAAACACGCGUAUUUCAUAGGGGACCAAAUAGACAAUAUUCCCUAUCAUUCAAAAAGCAUUGCAGCAGUAUGGGCCAAAAUGAAACAACAUUGAAAAUGUGGAGCAAAUUUUGAAAAUAAAUAAAAUAAAAGAGAACCGAUUUGAAAUUUUUUUGAAAUUGAAGGGACUAAUGCAGCAAUUAAGUGCACCAGUCUAGGAAACCAGGUCAGAUCAUUAAAAACAACGUCGUUUUGGACGUAUGUCUCCUCAACUAAUGAGAGGAUGAAAUUGAAAACAAAAUAAACCCAUAUGGCCGAAAUUAAAAAAAACUGAAAGGGAUUAAAUCAAAACAAAUUGAGAAAACAGGAGGAUUCAAUGUGAAAAUAAACCAUUAGUAUAAUACACGCGGAUCCUUUUUCUCGAAUCGGGUCGGAUCAUCGGAUCAAUGCCAAUACGGCACCGUUUUGGAGCCACAGAGUCCGGCCUCAAACGGUGUCGUUUUAUAUAUUGGAUAAAAGCUACCGAAAACCCUAAACACUCAUUAACUUCAUUUACAACAGCCUUCAGAAAAAAAGAAAAACCAUCCGCCGCAUUUUGUUCAUCCCCAAACUCUCGCUCAACUCCGAUCGCAACGGAGCAAACGAUGAUUCGGCUAAUAGGUAAACCACUCUCCUCUUAGCCUUUUCUUCCUUUUAUUUUUGUUUGGUGUAUAAAAGAAACAAAGAAUCCAAGAAAUCAAAAAGAAAAGAGAAAAAAACGACGGAGAAAAUCACCUUCCAAAAAAACUUUUUUCUUCUCUUUCUUGUUUGUAUUCAAUAUGCGUAAAAAAAGAAAGCCCCAUUUACAGAAACAAAUCCGCUUUUAUAGCUGAAUAUAGAAUGAAAAUUACAAAAAAUAUUUUCCUAUUCUAUUAUUCUUUUUUUUUUUUGCUUCUAUUUUCUGUUGUUGUUUGUUGGUGUUGGUUGUUGCAGGUAAAGCCUGGAGAAGGCGCGUGUGGACUUGGCGCGGAGGCGCAACAAGCGCAGGGAUCUGGUUCGGCUACGGCGCAAGGGCAGAAAGCUGCUAGGGCUGAGGCACAAGUGUUUUCCAGAAACCCCUAGGGGUUUCUGGAAUUCGGACCGUUUUGAUUUGGGCUUAACUGGGUUCAUGGUUUGGGUCUGGUAUUUGGGUUAAAUAGGCUAGUGUAAUUUAGACUAAAUUAGGUUUGGCUUUAAUUGUUGGGCCAUACGGGUUUGCUGUAGGUAUUUGGGAUUUGUAAUACUAGACACUAUUGUUUUUGGACUAUUAUUUUAUUUUAUUUGGUUUUUAUUUUUUUGAUUAUUUAAUCUGCAUGGGCCCGGGCUAAAAUUGGGUAGUACAAUAUAUAUAUAUAUAUAUAUAUAUGAAAUACAUGGAACUUGACUCUUGAUGAGCUCAUCCUUAUUCUUGAUAUUUACAUGAAAUAAAUAACUAACAUGUUUAGUGAGAUUAUGUGUUUAGGCUUUUGGCCAAGAUGUUUGGAAUGUGUUUGUAUCCUUAUUCUCAAUUACUCAAUGCACCAGUUUUUGGUUCCUUAUAUAUUUGAACUCAGGUUUUUACUUGCAUUAAAGUAUACGACUCACUUAUACAUGGUCUAUCAUCCACUCAAGCUUAAUGUAUG